UGUUAAGAGGGAANCUUCAGCUUGUAGGC
Molecule: non-coding RNA, 29 nt
Filed under: Mus musculus (house mouse)
Lineage: Eukaryota; Metazoa; Chordata; Mammalia; Rodentia; Muridae
Source: RNAcentral